Molecule: microRNA precursor, 127 nt
Filed under: Hevea brasiliensis (rubber tree)
Lineage: Eukaryota; Viridiplantae; Streptophyta; Magnoliopsida; Malpighiales; Euphorbiaceae
Description: miR166a stem-loop (hbr-MIR166a)
Gene: hbr-MIR166a
Rfam family: mir-166 microRNA precursor family (bases 15-116)
About the family: This family represents the plant microRNA (miRNA) precursor mir-166.
Source: miRBase by way of RNAcentral
AGGAAGCUUUUCUUUUUGAGGGGAAUGUUGUCUGGUUCAAGGUCAUGCGAUGCUAUACAUAUGAUUUGUUUAUCUUUUAGCUAGUUCUCCUCGGACCAGGCUUCAUUCCUCUCAAUUACUGCUUCCA